AGGAAAUUACCUCUGAUUAGUAGUUGAUUUAACUCCAUGGAAAUAAAAAAAUAUCUGGAGAGCUGGAGUAGAAGGGUGGAAAAUCACAGGAACUGACAUUUCCUUUGUACUGUACUCUCAUGAUGAGGUAAAAGGAUGCCUGAGAAGGAUAAGAAUCGGUUUAUCUGGAGGGAUGCUGCCAACCCUGUACAAAGCACUGGGAAUGCUCAUGUCCCCAGAUGUUCCCAGAGGAUGGCUGCUGUGCUGUAUAUGGCUAUCAAGAUCCAUGUCAGCCCUGCAUGAUCUGUUUUAUUGUACAGAGGUAUACAGUUAUGGCGUAUGAGCAUGUGUUCUUUUGCUUUCUUUGGGUUUAGCAAUUCCAUCAUGGUACAUUUACUCUGUGUCUGCUUUGUGACAUGUGGCUUUCAUAUCCAUGCUUUUUAAACAGCAGGCUGUAAUGGUAGCCUUGCUCUUGCAAGCCUGGAGGGGCAGCU
Molecule: long non-coding RNA, 473 nt
Organism: Cygnus olor (mute swan)
Lineage: Eukaryota; Metazoa; Chordata; Aves; Anseriformes; Anatidae
Exons: 3
Source: RefSeq, a predicted model, not a curated record